RNAcentral lists this unclassified non-coding RNA (405 nucleotides) under soil metagenome. RNAcentral's name for it is "partial contains 5.8S ribosomal RNA, internal transcribed spacer 2, and large subunit ribosomal RNA". The stretch from base 1 to 121 matches the Rfam family "5.8S ribosomal RNA", at positions 35 to 154 of the family's 154-position model. The record is from RNAcentral.
GAUGAAGAACGUAGCGAAAUGCGAUAAGUAAUGUGAAUUGCAGAAUUCAGCGAAUCAUCGAAUCUUUGAACGCACCUUGCGCCCUUUGGCCAUUCCGAAGGGCAUGCCUGUUUGAGUAUCAUGAACACCUCAACUCUUUAUGGUUUUCCAUGAUGAGCUUGGACUCUGGGGGUUUUGCUGGCUCACAGUCGGCUCCUCUAAAAUGAAUCAGCUUACCAGUGUUUGGUGGGUAUCAUGGGUGUGAUAACUAUCUACGCUUGUGGUUUUUCCACCAGGUAACCUUCAGCAGUGGAGGUUCGCUGGAGCUCAUAGAUGUCUCUCCUCAGUGAGGACAGCCCUUUGAAUGUUUGAUCUCAAAUCAGGUAGGACUACCCGCUGAACUUAAGCAUAUCAAUAAGCGGAGGA